This 367-nucleotide ribosomal RNA is filed under the name uncultured archaeon. RNAcentral describes it as "bacterial SSU rRNA". It matches the Rfam family "Archaeal small subunit ribosomal RNA", at positions 451 to 818 of the family's 1478-position model. The record is from RNAcentral.
UCUGGUGUCAGCCGCCGCGGUAAUACCAGCUCUCCGAGUGGUAGGGAUGAUUAUUGGGCUUAAAGCGUCCGUAGCCGGCUUAGCAAGUCUCCUGUUAAAUUCAGCGACCUAAUCGUUGAGCCGCGGGAGAUACUACCAGGCUAGGAGGCGGGAGAGGCCGACGGUAUUCUCGGGGUAGGGGUGAAAUCCUAUAAUCCCGGGAGGACCACCAGUGGCGAAGGCUGUCGGCUAGAACGCGCUCGACGGUGAGGGACGAAAGCUGGGGGAGCGAACCGGAUUAGAUACCCGGGUAGUCCCAGCUGUAAACGAUGCGGGCUAGGUGUUGGGGUGGCUACGAGCCACUUCAGUGCCGCAGGGAAGCCAUUAA